CAAAAACAUCGCCUCCCGCAAAAAUCAACGUAUAGGAGGUCUUGCCUGCCCAGUGACUGUAAGUUAAACGGCCGCGGUAUUUUGACCGUGCAAAGGUAGCGCAAUCACUUGUCUUUUAAAUGAAGACCUGUAUGAAUGGUGGAACGAGGGCUUAACUGUCUCCCCCCUCUAGUCAAUGAAAUUGAUCUACCCGUGCAGAAGCGGGUAUAACUAUACAAGACGAGAAGACCCUUUGGAGCUUAAGAUAAAAGACCAACUAUGUUAAAAGCCCUAAAAUUAAAGCCUAAACCAAAUAGCACUGGUCCUAAUCUUCGGUUGGGGCGACCACGGGAGAAAAUAAAGCUCCCAUGCAGACUGGGGCAACCCCCUAAAACUAAGAAAAACAUUUCUAAGACACAGAACACCUGACUAAAAGAUCCGGCUAUAUGCCGACCAACGAACCAAGUUACCCUAGGGAUAACAGCGCAAUCCCCUUCCAGAGUCCAUAUCGACAAGGGGGUUUACGACCUCGAUGUUGGAUCAGGAUAUCCUAAUGGUGCAGCCGCUAUUAAGGGUUC
RNAcentral lists this ribosomal RNA (557 nucleotides) under Corymbophanes kaiei. Its description in RNAcentral is "partial 16S ribosomal RNA". It matches the Rfam family "Bacterial large subunit ribosomal RNA", at positions 1808 to 2574 of the family's 2925-position model. Lineage: Eukaryota; Metazoa; Chordata; Actinopteri; Siluriformes; Loricariidae. The record is from RNAcentral.